RNAcentral lists this ribosomal RNA (1383 nucleotides) under uncultured bacterium. RNAcentral's name for it is "16S ribosomal RNA". It matches the Rfam family "Bacterial small subunit ribosomal RNA", at positions 60 to 1433 of the family's 1533-position model. The record is from RNAcentral.
AGUCGUACGGUAACAGCCAAGCAGCUUGCUUCUUUGCUGACGAGUGGCGGACGGGUGAGUAAUGUCUGGGAAACUGCCUGAUGGAGGGGGAUAACUACUGGAAACGGUAGCUAAUACCGCAUAACGUCGCAAGACCAAAGAGGGGGACCUUCGGGCCUCUUGCCAUCGGAUGUGCCCAGAUGGGAUUAGCUAGUAGGUGGGGUAACGGCUCACCUAGGCGACGAUCCCUAGCUGGUCUGAGAGGAUGACCAGCCACACUGGAACUGAGACACGGUCCAGACUCCUACGGGAGGCAGCAGUGGGGAAUAUUGCACAAUGGGCGCAAGCCUGAUGCAGCCAUGCCGCGUGUAUGAAGAAGGCCUUCGGGUUGUAAAGUACUUUCAGCGGGGAGGAAGGGAGUAAAGUUAAUACCUUUGCUCAUUGACGUUACCCGCAGAAGAAGCACCGGCUAACUCCGUGCCAGCAGCCGCGGUAAACGGAGGGUGCAAGCGUUAAUCGGAAUUACUGGGCGUAAAGCGCACGCAGGCGGUUUGUUAAGUCAGAUGUGAAAUCCCCGGGCUCAACCUGGGAACUGCAUCUGAUACUGGCAAGCUUGAGUCUCGUAGAGGGGGGUAGAAUUCCAGGUGUAGCGGUGAAAUGCGUAGAGAUCUGGAGGAAUACCGGUGGCGAAGGCGGCCCCCUGGACGAAGACUGACGCUCAGGUGCGAAAGCGUGGGGAGCAAACAGGAUUAGAUACCCUGGUAGUCCACGCCGUAAACGAUGUCGACUUGGAGGUUGUGCCCUUGAGGCGUGGCUUCCGGAGCUAACGCGUUAAGUCGACCGCCUGGGGAGUACGGCCGCAAGGUUAAAACUCAAAUGAAUUGACGGGGGCCCGCACAAGCGGUGGAGCAUGUGGUUUAAUUCGAUGCAACGCGAAGAACCUUACCUGGUCUUGACAUCCACGGAAGUUUUCAGAGAUGAGAAUGUGCCUUCGGGAACCGUGAGACAGGUGCUGCAUGGCUGUCGUCAGCUCGUGUUGUGAAAUGUUGGGUUAAGUCCCGCAACGAGCGCAACCCUUAUCCUUUGUUGCCAGCGGUCCGGCCGGGAACUCAAAGGAGACUGCCAGUGAUAAACUGGAGGAAGGUGGGGAUGACGUCAAGUCAUCAUGGCCCUUACGACCAGGGCUACACACGUGCUACAAUGGCGCAUACAAAGAGAAGCGACCUCGCGAGAGCAAGCGGACCUCAUAAAGUGCGUCGUAGUCCGGAUUGGAGUCUGCAACUCGACUCCAUGAAGUCGGAAUCGCUAGUAAUCGUGGAUCAGAAUGCCACGGUGAAUACGUUCCCGGGCCUUGUACACACCGCCCGUCACACCAUGGGAGUGGGUUGCAAAAGAAGUAGGUAG